ACUCCUACGGGAGGCAGCAGUGGGGAAUUUUGGACAAUGGGCGAAAGCCUGAUCCAGCAAUGCCGCGUGAGUGAAGAAGGCCUUCGGGUUGUAAAGCUCUUUUGUCAGGGAAGAAACGGUGAAAGCUAAUAUCUUUUGCUAAUGACGGUACCUGAAGAAUAAGCACCGGCUAACUACGUGCCAGCAGCCGCGGUAAUACGUAGGGUGCAAGCGUUAAUCGGAAUUACUGGGCGUAAAGCGUGCGCAGGCGGUUUUGUAAGUCUGAUGUGAAAUCCCCGGGCUCAACCUGGGAAUUGCAGUGGGGAUUGCAAGGCUAGAAUCUGGCAGAGGGGGGUAGAAUUCCACGUGUAGCAGUGAAAUGCGUAGAUAUGUGGAGGAACACCGAUGGCGAAGGCAGCCCCCUGGGGCAAGAUUGACGCUCAUGCACGAAAGCGUGGGGAGCAAACAGGAUUAGAAACCCGAGUAGUCCCAUG
This 473-nucleotide ribosomal RNA is filed under the name uncultured organism. RNAcentral describes it as "partial 16S ribosomal RNA". It matches the Rfam family "Bacterial small subunit ribosomal RNA", at positions 335 to 799 of the family's 1533-position model. The record is from RNAcentral.